CUACGGGAGGCUCCAGUGAGGAAUAUUGGUCAAUGGGCGCAAGCCUGAACCAGCCAUGCCGCGUGAAGGAUGACGGCCCUAUGGGUUGUAAACUUCUUUUAUACGGGAAGAAACGCCUCUACGUGUAGAGGUUUGACGGUACCGUACGAAUAAGCAUCGGCUAACUCCGUGCCAGCAGCCGCGGUAAUACGGAGGAUGCAAGCGUUAUCCGGAUUUAUUGGGUUUAAAGGGUACGUAGGCGGAAGAUUAAGUCAGUAGUGAAAUCCUGCAGCUUAACUGUAGAACUGUUAUUGAUACUGGUUUUCUUGAAUGUAGUUGAGGUAGGCGGAAUAAGUAAUGUAGCGGUGAAAUGCUUAGAUAUUACUUAGAACACCGAUUGCGAAGGCAGCUUACUAAGCUAUGAUUGACGCUGAGGUACGAAAGCGUGGGGAGCGAACAGGAUUAGAUACCCUCGUAGUC
RNAcentral lists this ribosomal RNA (459 nucleotides) under uncultured bacterium. RNAcentral describes it as "partial 16S ribosomal RNA". It matches the Rfam family "Bacterial small subunit ribosomal RNA", at positions 339 to 795 of the family's 1533-position model. The record is from RNAcentral.